RNAcentral lists this unclassified non-coding RNA (571 nucleotides) under Hevea brasiliensis (rubber tree). The record is from RNAcentral. Lineage: Eukaryota; Viridiplantae; Streptophyta; Magnoliopsida; Malpighiales; Euphorbiaceae.
AAUUUCCCCACCAUUUAAUUGCAAAUCUUUGGUCAGAUGGUCUAGAUUUUUAUGGUUUCACAAACUUUGGCAUCACAAUUUGCAAAUACUUCAGGUCUAGCAGUUCAAAUUUAUUUUGUUACGUUGUAAAAGUUAUCCAGAUUUUCUGCUCCAAUCUUUGCUAUAUUUCUUCUAAGCAGUUUAGUUUCUUAUGGGUCAUCAAAAUUGGUGUUAAAUUCAGAGGGCGAUAUCAUUACAAAUUUUGGGGUAGCCGGGUAGGACACCUAAUUUCUCAUAUAGCCUCAAUCCAUUAUUUUGGUUAUAAGCACUGUUCACUUUCAUCUUCAGCAGCUCAUUUACAAUUUAAAUUAAUGAGACUCGGGAUAUCAAUUGGUUCACUUUCCUCUUGGACAAACUUGUUCACUGUUCAUAUAAAUUCAGUGAAGACGACAAUCUGCAUGCUUAAAAUAAUGAAACCUAGACAAAAUACCAAAUCAUGGUCAUGAAGAAUCAAGCUUAUAUGAGAAGAUCUGCUAUUUUGCUAUAUUAUGGGAAAGUUGGUCCUGUUGCAGCCUUGCAAGCAAGAACAUGC